CCUACGGGAGACAGCAGUGAGGAAUAUUGGUCAAUGGGCUUACGCCUGAACCAGCCAAGUCGCGUGAGGGAAGACUGCCCUAUGGGUUGUAAACCUCUUUUGUCAGGGAGCAAUUGGCGCUACGUGUAGCGCUAUCGAGAGUACCUGAAGAAAAAGCAUCGGCAAACUCCUUGCCAGCAGCCGCGGUAUUACGGAGGAUGCGAGCGUUAUCGGGAUUUAUUGGGUUAAAGGGGUGCGUAGGAGGAAUGCCAAGUCAGCGGUAAAAUCGCGGGGCUUAACCUCGUUCCGCCUUUGAAACUGGCUUUCUUGAGUGGGCGAGAGGUAUGCGGAAUGCGUGGUGUAGCGGUGAAAUGCAUAGAUAUCACGCAGAACUCCGAUUGCGAAGGCAGCAUACCGGCGCCCAACUGACGCUGAAGCACGAAAGCGUGGGUAUCGAACAGGAUUAGAUACCCUUGUAGUC
RNAcentral lists this ribosomal RNA (460 nucleotides) under uncultured bacterium. RNAcentral describes it as "partial 16S ribosomal RNA". It matches the Rfam family "Bacterial small subunit ribosomal RNA", at positions 338 to 795 of the family's 1533-position model. The record is from RNAcentral.